GAUGAAGAACGCAGCAAAAUGCGAUACUUGGUGUGAAUUGCAGAAUCCCGUGAACCAUCGAGUUUUUGAACGCAAGUUGCGCCCGAAGCCUUUUGGCCGAGGGCACGUCUGCCUGGGCGUCACGCAUCGUGUCGCCCCCCACAAAUUCUCCGUCAGGGGAGCUUGUGUUUCGGGGGCGGAUACUGGUCUCCCGUGCUCAUGGCGCGGUUGGCCGAAAUAGGAGUCCCUUCGAUGGACGCACGAACUAGUGGUGGUCGUAAAAACCCUCGUCUUUUGUUUCGUGCCGUUAGUCGCGAGGGAAGCUCUUCAAAAACCCCAACGCGUCGUCUCUUGACGGCGCUUCGACCGCGACCCCAGGUCAGGCGGGACUACCCGCUGAGUUUAAGCAUAUCAUAAGCGGAGGA
RNAcentral lists this unclassified non-coding RNA (404 nucleotides) under soil metagenome. Its description in RNAcentral is "partial contains 5.8S ribosomal RNA, internal transcribed spacer 2, and large subunit ribosomal RNA". The stretch from base 1 to 122 matches the Rfam family "5.8S ribosomal RNA", at positions 35 to 154 of the family's 154-position model. The record is from RNAcentral.